RNAcentral lists this transfer RNA (67 nucleotides) under Onthophagus gracilipes. RNAcentral's name for it is "tRNA-Cys". Lineage: Eukaryota; Metazoa; Arthropoda; Insecta; Coleoptera; Scarabaeidae. The record is from RNAcentral.
AGUUUUAUAGUUUAAAAUAAAAUAUUAAAUUGCAAAUUUAAAGAUAAAUUUAUUAAUUUUAAGGCUU